AGUCGUAACAAGGUUUCCGUAGGUGAACCUGCGGAAGGAUCAUUAUCGAAUAAACUUGAACAGGCUGUUUUUUGCUGGCCCUUGAAAGAGGGCAUGUGCACGCUUGUUCAUCUUUGUCAUUUCUCCAACUGUGCACAUACUGUAGACCUGGGGGGAGCAUUAUGAAUGGAAUUUCCAUUCGAGUUAGGGAUUGCUGUGCUUUACAAAAGAAAAAAGUCGGCUUUCCCUUGUAUUUUUUCAGGUCUAUGUUGUUUUUCAUAAUCUCUACAACAAUGUUUAGAAUGUUGAAUAAGGUCUUUGUACCUAUAUAAAAGUUAAUACAACUUUCAGCAACGGAUCUCUUGGCUCUCGCAUCGAUGAAGAACGCAGCGAAAUGCGAUAAGUAAUGUGAAUUGCAGAAUUCAGUGAAUCAUCGAAUCUUUGAACGCAUCUUGCGCUCCUUGGUAUUCCGAGGAGCAUGCCUGUUUGAGUGUCAUUUGACCUUCUCAACCACAUCGUUCUUGUUUUUGAAUGUGUGUGGCUUGGAUGUGGGGGUAAUAAUUUUAUUUUUUUUGCAGGCUUCAAAUCAAGAAGCCGGCUCCCCUGAAAUGCAUUAGUGGUGUCUGAGCUGCUAUUGGUGUGAUAAAUUAUCUAUGCCUUUGGUAAUGCUGGUCAGCAUCGCUUAUAACGGACGUGUGAUCAUUUGACAAAUUUGACCUCAAAUCAGGUAGGACUACCCGCUGAACUUAA
This 729-nucleotide ribosomal RNA is filed under the name Inocybe geophylla. Its description in RNAcentral is "eukaryotic LSU rRNA". The stretch from base 322 to 475 matches the Rfam family "5.8S ribosomal RNA". The record is from RNAcentral. Lineage: Eukaryota; Fungi; Basidiomycota; Agaricomycetes; Agaricales; Inocybaceae.